RNAcentral lists this ribosomal RNA (484 nucleotides) under uncultured bacterium. RNAcentral describes it as "partial 16S ribosomal RNA". It matches the Rfam family "Bacterial small subunit ribosomal RNA", at positions 29 to 507 of the family's 1533-position model. The record is from RNAcentral.
AUUGAACGCUGGCGGCAUGCUUUACACAUGCAAGUCGAACGGCAGCGCGGGCUUCGGCCUGGCGGCGAGUGGCGAACGGGUGAGUAAUGCAUCGGAACGUGCCCAGUAGUGGGGGAUAGGCCGGCGAAAGCCGGAUUAAUACCGCAUACGACCUGAGGGGGAAAGCGGGGGACCGAAAGGCCUCGCGCUAUUGGAGCGGCGGAUGUCGGGUUAGCUAGUUGGUGGGGUAAAGGCUUACCAAGGCGACAAUCCGUAGCUGGUCUGAGAGGACGACCAGCCACACUGGGACUGAGACACGGCCCAGACUCCUACGGGAGGCAGCAGUGGGGAAUUUUGGACAAUGGGGGCAACCCUGAUCCAGCCAUGCCGCGUGCGGGAAGAAGGCCUUCGGGUUGUAAAACGCUUUUGUUCGGGAAGAAAUCCUCUGGGCUAAUACCCCGGGGGGAUGACGGUACCGGAAGAAUAAGCACCGGCUAACUACGUG